CUUAUCUUGCUAACGCCGAUGGCAACCGGCGCACAGGUGAGUAACACUUAUCCAACCUGCCGUCUACUCUUGCACACCCUUCUGAAAGGAAGAUUAAUACAAGAUGGCAUCAUGACUUCACAUGUUCACAUGAUUAAAGGUAUUCCGGUACACGAUGGGGAUGCGUUCCAUUAGAUAGUAGGCGGGGUAACGGCCCACCUAGUCUUCGAUGGAUAGGGGUUCUGAGAGGAAUGUCCCCCACAUUGAAACUGAGACACGGUCCAAACUCGUACGGGAGGCAGCAGUGAGGAAUAUUGGUCAAUGGGCGCAGGCCUGAACCAGCCAAGUAGCGUGAAGGAUGACUGCCCUAUGGGUUGUAAACUUCUUUUAUAAAGGAAUAAAGUCGGGUAUGUAUACCCGUUUGCAUGUACUUUAUGAAUAAGGAUCGGCUAACUCCGUGCCAGCAGCCGCGGUAAUACGGAGGAUCCGAGCGUCUAUCCGGAUUUAUUGGGUUUAAAGGGAGCGUAGAUGGAUGUUUAAGUCAGUUGUGAAAGUUUGCGGCUCACCCGUAAAAUUGCAGUUGAUACUGGAUAUCUUGAGUGCAGAUGAGGCAGGCGGAAUUCGUGGUGUAGCGGUGAAAUGCUUAGAUAUCACGAAGAACUCCGAUUGCGAAGGCAGCCUGCUAAGCUGCAACUGACAUUGAGGCUAGAAAGUGUGGGCAUCAAACAGGAUUAGAUACCCUGGUACUCCACGCGGUAAACGACGGAAUACUCGUCGUUUGCGAUAUACUGCAAGCGGCCAAGCGAAAGCGUUAAGUAUUCCACCUGGGGAGUACGCCGGCAGCGGUGAAACUCAAAGGAAUUGACGGGGGCCCGCACAAGCGGAGGAACAUGUGGUUUAAUUCGAUGAUACGCGAGGAACCUUACCCGGGCUAAAUUGCAGAUGAAUUACGGUGAAAGCCGUAAGCCGCAAGGCAUCUGCGAAGGUGCUGCAUGGUUGUCGUCAGCUCGUGCCGCGAGGUGUCGGCGUAAGUUCCAUAACGAGCGCAACCCUUGUUGUCAGUUACUAACAGGUUCCGCUGAGGACUCUGACAAGAUUGCCAUCGUAAGAUGUGAGGAAGGCGGGGAUGACGUCAAAUCAGCACGGCCCUUACGUCCGGGGCUACACACGUGUCACAAUGGGGGGUACAGAGGGCCGCUACCACGCGAGUGGAUGCCAAUCCCCAAAACCUCUUUCAGUUCGGAGUGGAGUUUGCAACCCGACUCCAAGAAGCUGGAUUCGGUAGUAAUCGCGCAUCAGCCACGGCGCGGUGAAUACGUUCCCGGCCCGUGCCCAAAGCGCCCUUC
Molecule: ribosomal RNA, 1325 nt
Filed under: uncultured bacterium
Lineage: Bacteria
Description: partial 16S ribosomal RNA
Rfam family: Bacterial small subunit ribosomal RNA
Source: RNAcentral